Long non-coding RNA from Talpa occidentalis (Iberian mole), 442 nucleotides. RefSeq lists it as uncharacterized. The record is from RefSeq and is a predicted model, not a curated record. Lineage: Eukaryota; Metazoa; Chordata; Mammalia; Eulipotyphla; Talpidae. The transcript has 3 exons.
CAGUGGGGCCUGACGGCCAUAAAAGCAGCCAGUAGAGGCCGUUGUCCAAGAAGAGCAGCUUGGGGUGCAGAGAGGGGAGGUCCCCAAACCUCAAAGGCGUGUGGGCGGAAGAAUCCCUCGUCCAGGCAGCCCGGCCUUGUCAGCUCGCCAUGGCUUCGAGGACGCACAUUCCUCGCCCUCUCUGGCAGCGACCCCCUGGGUCCCGACACAGCCACCCUCAUGUUCACUUGAAGUGAAAAAAGGCCGAGAAACAGCAUUCAGAUGCCUCCACGCCCCAGCGUCCUAGAGGCAGAGCCGGUCACCUGGAGGUCCCCUCUGCAGUGGGGAGCCCGUCUGCCCAUCGCGGCCACCUCCUGCGCCGUCCGGGACCUGCGUGGGAAGAGAAGAGCCAGUAAAGCCCAAGCAGAGAGUGAAGUGUUCAGGAUGCUCGUGUGUGAGUGAA